UACGAAGGGGGCUAGCGUUGCUCGGAAUUACUGGGCGUAAAGCGCACGUAGGCGGUUAGUUAAGUUGGAUGUGAAAGCCCCGGGCUCAACCUGGGAAUUGCAUUCAAAACUGGCUAACUAGAAUACGGGAGAGGGGGGUAGAAUUCCAAGUGUAGCGGUGAAAUGCGUAGAGAUUUGGAGGAAUACCAGUGGCGAAGGCGGCCCCCUGGCCCGAUAUUGACGCUGAGGUGCGAAAGCGUGGGGAGCAAACAGG
Molecule: ribosomal RNA, 253 nt
Filed under: uncultured bacterium
Lineage: Bacteria
Description: partial 16S ribosomal RNA
Rfam family: Bacterial small subunit ribosomal RNA
Source: RNAcentral